RNAcentral lists this transfer RNA (65 nucleotides) under Lordithon arcuatus. RNAcentral describes it as "tRNA-Ile". Lineage: Eukaryota; Metazoa; Arthropoda; Insecta; Coleoptera; Staphylinidae. The record is from RNAcentral.
AAUGAAAUGCCUGACUAAAGGACUAUUUUGAUAGAAUAGAUAAUGUAGCUAAACUACUUUCAUUA